AGCAUGGAGGGUUUGAUCCUGGCUCAGCGCGAACGCUGGCGGCGUGCCUAACACAUGCAAG
This 61-nucleotide ribosomal RNA is filed under the name Aquificota bacterium. Its description in RNAcentral is "Aquificae bacterium partial 16S ribosomal RNA". Lineage: Bacteria; Pseudomonadati; Aquificota. The record is from RNAcentral.